UCCCCGUUACCGGGGCAGUCUAGCUAGAGAAAUCCAACUAACUAAAAGGGUUGCGCUCGUUAAAGGACUUAACCUAACAUCUCACGACACGAGCUGACGACGGCCAUGCAUCACCUGUCUCUACGGCCCGAAGGCACUCCCUCCUUUCGGAGGGAUGAGUAGGAUGUCAAACCUGGGUAAGGUUCUACGCUUAUCAUCGAAUUAAACAACACGCUCCACCGCUUGUGCGGGUCCCCGUCAAUUCCUUUAUGUUUUAGCCUUGCGGCCGUACUCCACAGGCGGGAUGCUUAACGCGUUAGCUUCGCUACUACCAGGGUCGAUACUGAUAACAGCUAGCAUCCAUCGUUUACGGCGUGGACUAC
Molecule: unclassified non-coding RNA, 362 nt
Filed under: uncultured bacterium
Lineage: Bacteria
Description: contains 16S-23S intergenic spacer region
Source: RNAcentral